AGCUUUGCGCAGUGGCAGUAUCGUAGCCAAUGAGGUUUAUCUGAGGCGCGAUUAUUGCUAAUUAAAUUUGGAAUUGCUUAUAAUGGCUAGAAAAUAAUAAAGGCACUAAAUUCUGCUGUCAUUAACACAGAAUC
RNAcentral lists this small nuclear RNA (134 nucleotides) under Neogale vison (American mink). RNAcentral describes it as "Neovison vison (American mink) U4 spliceosomal RNA (ENSNVIG00000004274.1)". The stretch from base 1 to 69 matches the Rfam family "U4 spliceosomal RNA". Rfam says of the family: U4 small nuclear RNA (U4 snRNA) is a component of the major U2-dependent spliceosome. Lineage: Eukaryota; Metazoa; Chordata; Mammalia; Carnivora; Mustelidae. The record is from RNAcentral.